Molecule: ribosomal RNA, 497 nt
Filed under: uncultured bacterium
Lineage: Bacteria
Description: partial 16S ribosomal RNA
Rfam family: Bacterial small subunit ribosomal RNA
Source: RNAcentral
GAUGAACGCUGGCGGCGUGCCUAAUACAUGCAAGUCGAGCGAACAGACGAGGAGCUUGCUGCUCUCACGUUAGCGGCGGGCGGGUGAGUAACACGUGGAUAACCUACCUAUAAGACUGGGAUAACUUCGGGAAACCGGAGGUGAUACCGGAUGAGAUAUUGAACCGAAGGGUUCAAUAGUGAAAGACGGGUUUGCCGUCACCUAUCGAUGGGUCCGCGCCGCAUUGGCUAGUUGGUGAGGUAACGGGUUACCAAGGCGACGAGGCGUAGCCGACCUGAGGGGCUGAGAGGCCACACGGGAACAUAGACACGGUGCGGAGGCCUACGGUAGGCAGCGGUAGGGAAGUGGCGGCAAUGGGGGAAUGCCUGACGGAGUAACGCCGCGUCAGUGAUGGGGGUCUGCGGAUCUUAGAACUCUGUUCUUAGGGAAGAACAAAUGUAUAGGGAACUAUGGCCGGCUUGACGGUACCGGGUGAGAAAGCCCCGGCUAACUCCGUG